AUGCUAUGUGCCUGCCUAGUUGUCUCAUUCUUCUGGCCUCAGUUUCCCUGUAUGUAAAAUGGGAACAAACCCGUCGUCAUCCAUCUUUCCUGCCCUAAACUGUUGGAAGGUUGAAAGCAUUGGAAAACACGAAGCCAUCUGCUUGUGGCUCCCUUUUUGUCCCCAAAUCAAUAGACAUUUGAAGAUGAGCAUAUCGGUGCCUGCCGGCAGCCAGACUGACUAGCAGACUGGGGACCACUGCAAGGGGGAGGCUGAGUCAGCAGGUUGGUUUCUUCCAGGGCUUUGUUUAGAGGGGAAGAAGUCAGGCGAGUAUGAUAAUAAAGAAUCGAGCUGC
Molecule: long non-coding RNA, 334 nt
Organism: Myotis davidii
Lineage: Eukaryota; Metazoa; Chordata; Mammalia; Chiroptera; Vespertilionidae
Exons: 2
Source: RefSeq, a predicted model, not a curated record